RNAcentral lists this ribosomal RNA (253 nucleotides) under uncultured bacterium. Its description in RNAcentral is "partial 16S ribosomal RNA". It matches the Rfam family "Bacterial small subunit ribosomal RNA", at positions 524 to 776 of the family's 1533-position model. The record is from RNAcentral.
UACGUAGGGGGCAAGCGUUGUCCGGAUUUAUUGGGCGUAAAGGGUGCGUAGGCGGUUUGGUAAGUCUGAUGUGAAAUCUAUGGGCUCAACUCAUAGUCUGCAUCGGAAACUGCCGGGCUUGAGUGUGGGAGAGGUGAGUGGAAUUCCUGGUGUAGCGGUGAAAUGCGUAGAUAUCAGGAGGAACACCUGUGGCGAAAGCGGCUCACUGGACCAUAACUGACGCUGAUGCACGAAAGCUAGGGGAGCAAACAGG